Molecule: long non-coding RNA, 231 nt
Filed under: Mus spicilegus (steppe mouse)
Lineage: Eukaryota; Metazoa; Chordata; Mammalia; Rodentia; Muridae
Description: lncRNA (ENSMSIG00000021542.1)
Source: RNAcentral
AAGGAAGUUCAGCGGCCUAAACCUCUGGAUUAAGCUCGACCUGGGGGCAGACAGUGGCAUUUCAUCGAGUCCAAAGGGAGCUGACGAUGCAUCAUUAUAUUUAUGAUGGGCCGAAGCCGCGUCACCACACCCAGGUGAGUAAUCUCUGAAGUCCUGGCUUAGGUAAGUCCUUGGUUCCUAGAACCCUAGAGGAAGUACACAGCACACACUGUUCUAAGGAUUUAGAACAUU